ACGGGUGAGUAAUGCUUGGGAAUCUGGCUUAUGGAGGGGGAUAACUACGGGAAACUGUAGCUAAUACCGCGUAAUAUCGAAAGAUUAAAGUGUGGGACCUUCGGGCCACACGCCAUAAGAUGAGCCCAAGUGGGAUUAGGUAGUUGGUUAGGUAAAGGCUGACCAAGCCGACGAUCUCUAGCUGGUCUGAGAGGAUGACCAGCCACACUGGAACUGAGACACGGUCCAGACUCCUACGGGAGGCAGCAGUGGGGAGUAUUGCACAAUGGGGGGAACCCUGAUGCAGCCAUGCCGCGUGAAUGAAGAAGGCCUUCGGGUUGUAAAGUUCUUUCGGUGACGAGGAAGGUUGGUAUGUUAAUAGCAUAUCAAAUUGACGUUAUUCACAGAAGAAGCACCGGCUAACUCCGUGGCAGCAGCCGCGGUAAUACUGGGGGUGCGAGCGGUUAUUCGGAAUAACUGGGCGUAAAGGCACGCAGGCGGUGACUUAAGUGAGUGUGAAAGCCCCGGGCUAACUGGGAAUGCAUUCCUAAUGGGUCGCUAAAGUACUUUAGGAAGGGUAGGAUCCACGGUAGUGUGAAAUGCGAAGAUUUGAGAUACGAAGGAAGCGCCCUUGGAAUACUGCGCUCUUGCGAAGCUGGGACAACGGAUAGAUCUGGAUUCACCUUAACAAGCAAUGG
This 677-nucleotide ribosomal RNA is filed under the name uncultured bacterium. RNAcentral describes it as "bacterial SSU rRNA". It matches the Rfam family "Bacterial small subunit ribosomal RNA", at positions 102 to 812 of the family's 1533-position model. The record is from RNAcentral.